UUUAAUUCGAAGCAACGCGAAGAACCUUACCAGGUCUUGACAUCCUUUGACCACUCUAGAGAUAGAGCUUUCCCUUCGGGGACAAAGUGACAGGUGGUGCAUGGUUGUCGUCAGCUCGUGUCGUGAGAUGUUGGGUUAAGUCCCGCAACGAGCGCAACCCUUAUUGUUAGUUGCCAUCAUUUAGUUGGGCACUCUAGCGAGACUGCCGGUGACAAACCGGAGGAAGGUGGGGAUGACGUCAAAUCAUCAUGCCCCUUAUGACCUGGGCUACACACGUGCUACAAUGGGAAGUACAACGAGUCGCUAGACCGCGAGGUCAUGCAAAUCUCUUAAAGCUUCUCUCAGUUCGGAUUGCAGGCUGCAACUCGCCUGCAUGAAGCCGGAAUCGCUAGUAAUCGCGGAUCAGCACGCCG
This 413-nucleotide ribosomal RNA is filed under the name uncultured Enterococcus sp. RNAcentral describes it as "bacterial SSU rRNA". It matches the Rfam family "Bacterial small subunit ribosomal RNA", at positions 945 to 1359 of the family's 1533-position model. The record is from RNAcentral. Lineage: Bacteria; Bacillati; Bacillota; Bacilli; Lactobacillales; Enterococcaceae.